GGGAAGCUGGCUCAGUGGUAGAGUACUUGCCUUGCAUGCAUGAGGCCCUGGGUUCGAUUCCUCAGCACCACA
This 72-nucleotide transfer RNA is filed under the name Dipodomys ordii (Ord's kangaroo rat). It matches the Rfam family "tRNA". From Rfam's summary of the family: Transfer RNA (tRNA) molecules are approximately 80 nucleotides in length. Their secondary structure includes four short double-helical elements and three loops (D, anti-codon, and T loops). Lineage: Eukaryota; Metazoa; Chordata; Mammalia; Rodentia; Heteromyidae. The record is from Rfam by way of RNAcentral.